This 253-nucleotide ribosomal RNA is filed under the name uncultured bacterium. RNAcentral describes it as "partial 16S ribosomal RNA". It matches the Rfam family "Bacterial small subunit ribosomal RNA", at positions 524 to 776 of the family's 1533-position model. The record is from RNAcentral.
UACGUAGGGUGCGAGCGUUAAUCGGAAUUACUGGGCGUAAAGCGUGCGCAGGCGGCUUUGCAAGACAGAUGUGAAAUCCCCGGGCUCAACCUGGGAACUGCAUUUGUGACUGCAAGGCGAGAGUACGGCAGAGGGGGAUGGAAUUCCGCGUGUAGCAGUGAAAUGCGUAGAUAUGCGGAGGAACACCAAUGGCGAAGGCAAUCCCCUGGGCCUGUACUGACGCUCAUGCACGAAAGCGUGGGGAGCAAACAGG